Mirounga angustirostris (Northern elephant seal) is the source of this 1255-nucleotide long non-coding RNA. RefSeq lists it as uncharacterized. The transcript has 2 exons. The record is from RefSeq and is a predicted model, not a curated record. NCBI's taxonomy places the organism in Eukaryota, Metazoa, Chordata, Mammalia, Carnivora, Phocidae.
UCUGCUCUGGGGCCAGUGACCAGUUUACAUAGCAUCUUCCUUCACCUCCUGGUUUUAGAAUUUUGUGUUUUGGGGAGUAAUUCUUUAGUUGCUUGUAAGGGGAAAGAGAGAGGAGAGGAGUUCAGCAUCCUCCUGAAGGACCCUCCAGGGGACAUGGUUUCCCAUAUCUGGCUCCUGGCUUCUCUGGCUUCUUAUUCUAUGUUCUCUGAAGAUGCAGCCAGGGUUCCUGCUGAGCAAGCUGGAUGCCAAUGGUUGGAGGGAAACUGAGUCAGGAGCGGAGACAGUAAUGAACUUCUCUAAGCUGAAUGGAAAGGUUGUCCUGAUGCUACCUCACUGGCACAAGAUCUGUUCCUUAGCUCCUGGUCCCAUCGACGUCACGGGCAAUUUCAAGGUCCAUGAUGGGACUCACAUCUAAUACUUUCAACCCUACAGUUUCUUGACCUUUUCAACACCAAUGACUAUGGGUCAUCCUGGACCAAACAUUGGAGAUUGGAUCAAAUGGAGAUUUCCAAGGCUGCUAGCAUCAACAUUUAACCAUCUGCUCACAUGUCCAAGAAGAAAAGGAGAUGAGUUACUGUACUUUGUGUUCAACCUGUCAAUGCCUUCCAGGGCUUUGAAGACCACCAGGAGCAUACUUGUUAUUGAACAGGUGGGAUUUAUUACUCCUUGCAGCUAAGGAACGUGCACACCAUGGGGAACUGUGCAGUGUCUCAGUAAGAGACACUUAACUUACUCAGUAAGAGACUUACUCGGGUGUUAGAAAGAAUCAAUUAUAGGAUUUGGGCUUUGACUGGGUGAUAUUGGGGAGGGUCCUAGGAAGUGGAGCUUUGCUCUAAAUUGGGUAUUCUCAGGAAUCAGGGAUAAUUCUAUGAUUCUUUGCAGAAGAGUGUCUUUGAUAAUUUCCUUGCUAUGUAGUAGAUCAAGUCAUUCUUUUUCUUUUUCUAUUAUGAACAGUGCUGCCCCUAACCUUCAUUUUCUAUGUCUCCUAGUGUAACUAUUAAGUGUUUAAGAGUCUCUCUAGGGAAUACAUAAACCUAGUAGUAGGAUUUCUGGGUGUUGGGGCAUACAAAUAUUCAACUUUAGAUGGUAACGAUUGUUUUUCAAAUCAGUUGGUUGUACCAAUGGCCUUGAGCCACAUCCCCAGAACAGUUGGUAAACCUUUUAAUUUUUGACAAUCUAGCAUGUAAAAUAAUAUUUUAUUAUUGUCUUAAUUUGCAUUUGCCUGAUUAAAUAAUAAAGCUGAACACUUUUUCAA